This 1326-nucleotide ribosomal RNA is filed under the name Pseudarthrobacter phenanthrenivorans. RNAcentral's name for it is "bacterial SSU rRNA". It matches the Rfam family "Bacterial small subunit ribosomal RNA", at positions 90 to 1427 of the family's 1533-position model. Lineage: Bacteria; Bacillati; Actinomycetota; Actinomycetes; Micrococcales; Micrococcaceae. The record is from RNAcentral.
GAUUAGUGGCGAACGGGUGAGUAACACGUGAGUAACCUGCCCUUAACUCUGGGAUAAGCCUGGGAAACUGGGUCUAAUACCGGAUAUGACCUUCCAUCGCAUGGUGGUUGGUGGAAAGCUUUUUGUGGUUUUGGAUGGACUCGCGGCCUAUCAGCUUGUUGGUGAGGUAAUGGCUUACCAAGGCGACGACGGGUAGCCGGCCUGAGAGGGUGACCGGCCACACUGGGACUGAGACACGGCCCAGACUCCUACGGGAGGCAGCAGUGGGGAAUAUUGCACAAUGGGCGCAAGCCUGAUGCAGCGACGCCGCGUGAGGGAUGACGGCCUUCGGGUUGUAAACCUCUUUCAGUAGGGAAGAAGCGAAAGUGACGGUACCUGCAGAAGAAGCGCCGGCUAACUACGUGCCAGCAGCCGCGGUAAUACGUAGGGCGCAAGCGUUAUCCGGAAUUAUUGGGCGUAAAGAGCUCGUAGGCGGUUUGUCGCGUCUGCCGUGAAAGUCCGGGGCUCAACUCCGGAUCUGCGGUGGGUACGGGCAGACUAGAGUGAUGUAGGGGAGACUGGAAUUCCUGGUGUAGCGGUGAAAUGCGCAGAUAUCAGGAGGAACACCGAUGGCGAAGGCAGGUCUCUGGGCAUUAACUGACGCUGAGGAGCGAAAGCAUGGGGAGCGAACAGGAUUAGAUACCCUGGUAGUCCAUGCCGUAAACGUUGGGCACUAGGUGUGGGGGACAUUCCACGUUUUCCGCGCCGUAGCUAACGCAUUAAGUGCCCCGCCUGGGGAGUACGGCCGCAAGGCUAAAACUCAAAGGAAUUGACGGGGGCCCGCACAAGCGGCGGAGCAUGCGGAUUAAUUCGAUGCAACGCGAAGAACCUUACCAAGGCUUGACAUGGACUGGAAAUACCUGGAAACAGGUGCCCCGCUUGCGGCCGGUUCACAGGUGGUGCAUGGUUGUCGUCAGCUCGUGUCGUGAGAUGUUGGGUUAAGUCCCGCAACGAGCGCAACCCUCGUUCUAUGUUGCCAGCACGUGAUGGUGGGGACUCAUAGGAGACUGCCGGGGUCAACUCGGAGGAAGGUGGGGACGACGUCAAAUCAUCAUGCCCCUUAUGUCUUGGGCUUCACGCAUGCUACAAUGGCCGGUACAAAGGGUUGCGAUACUGUGAGGUGGAGCUAAUCCCAAAAAGCCGGUCUCAGUUCGGAUUGGGGUCUGCAACUCGACCCCAUGAAGUCGGAGUCGCUAGUAAUCGCAGAUCAGCAACGCUGCGGUGAAUACGUUCCCGGGCCUUGUACACACCGCCCGUCAAGUCACGAAAGUUGGUAACACCCGAAGC